Long non-coding RNA from Bradysia coprophila, 400 nucleotides. The record is from RefSeq and is a predicted model, not a curated record. NCBI's taxonomy places the organism in Eukaryota, Metazoa, Arthropoda, Insecta, Diptera, Sciaridae.
AUUUGUCAUCACAUCUAACGUUUCGUACGGAUAAUCGAAUUUGCAAAGUUAGCGUCUUUUCAUCCAGUGAAAGAAUAAAAACCAUGAGCAAGAAACCGAACAAAAAAGACGGAAAAAAGUCAGGAAACCAAAUUGGAGAGAAAGUGGCAUGUAAGUUGAUCGAUGCAACGUCAAAUGCAGCUUGCGAAAUAGUCGUUAAAGUUAUCGAAGGAAUUGCUUACAAAUGUUGUGGUUUGCAUCUCAACCGAAUACCGACGUAAGCUGUAUGUAGCCUCCUUUUUGUACCAGCAAGAGUUCGUGGAAUGAUAUUUCGUUAAGUUGACUUUAACCAGUCAAAAUCUUCACCAGUGAACUUUGCCUGACAUAUUGCUGUAUGAGCUCUUCAAAUGGAAAAUAAACA